RNAcentral lists this long non-coding RNA (421 nucleotides) under Panax ginseng (ginseng). Its description in RNAcentral is "long non-coding RNA (PGIN_LNC011640)". The record is from RNAcentral. Lineage: Eukaryota; Viridiplantae; Streptophyta; Magnoliopsida; Apiales; Araliaceae.
UUUUGUAGGCCGAUUAAACCUAAAACAUAGGUAUGUCAAUUUGCAUUCGACGGCAUUAAAAAUGUGGAUACAAGUUGAAUACAAAUCAGGACCACCGGAGUAGCGUAGUCUUCCUCCAUUGUCGCAAAUUGAGUAACCCAACGAAAAGAACUACUCAGUUCCAUUACUAAAAAGAGGCCAAGGCAUAAGGAAAAAUGGUUCAGCAUGCAUGUUCACCGGCUGCUUCCAUCGUUAAUUCCUCCUCCCUUUUUGUCUCUUUCUUGCUGCUUAGUUUUAUCUGCACGUAAGUCUUUACUUACAUGGACAUUCCAUCGCCACACAUGCUUCUUUGUGGUUUGUGAACCUUUGAGUCUUUCUAGCUACAUUUUGGAUAGAAGGAAUAUAAUAGAGAAGGGAAAAGAAUUGUAAUACUCAAGUCCCA